UCUUCCUUUUAGGCAGCCACCACAGAGGAC
RNAcentral lists this non-coding RNA (30 nucleotides) under Homo sapiens (human). The record is from RNAcentral. Lineage: Eukaryota; Metazoa; Chordata; Mammalia; Primates; Hominidae.